RNAcentral lists this ribosomal RNA (253 nucleotides) under uncultured bacterium. Its description in RNAcentral is "partial 16S ribosomal RNA". It matches the Rfam family "Bacterial small subunit ribosomal RNA", at positions 524 to 776 of the family's 1533-position model. The record is from RNAcentral.
UACGAGAGGCCCAAACGUUAUUCGGAUUUACUGGGCUUAAAGAGUUCGUAGGCGGUUCGGUAAGUGGGGUGUGAAAGCCCUCGGCUCAACCGAGGAAUUGCGCUUCAAACUGCCGGGCUCGAGGGAGAUAGAGGUGAGCGGAACUGAUGGUGGAGCGGUGAAAUGCGUUGAUAUCAUCAGGAACACCAGAGGCGAAGGCGGCUCACUGGGUCUCUUCUGACGCUGAGGAACGAAAGCUAGGGGAGCAAACGGG